CUUAACUGCAGCAUUUCGGCUCCAGAUUAAAUCCACUGAAAAGGUGAUGGGCCAGAGGACAGCCAGCCAGCCGAGAGGGCAAUCACCCCACACGCACGACAACCUGUGUAAGUAAGAUGCACUUGGUUUCUUGUGGGCUGAGGACAAGUCUGUAAAGACAAAGGUCACUCUGAAGAACAGAGUAGAAAUUACACCCACUGAUUCAAAGACUGCAUUCAUAUGGUCAUAAUGCAAAUCCAAUCCCCUAAGAUCUUUGCAGCAUAAGAGUAGAUGAAGAACGUAUCAAAAUGGACUUUCUGCCCACCCUCAAGAUUCACAGUUGAGACAUCUUCCACUGAAGGAGAGAGAUCCAGAUAAACGAGAUCAAUUAAAUGUAAAAGUUAUCACGAUCCACACUGACAGAGGCUAACCACACUUAACACAGCAAAGGAAAUGACCGGUUUCCAGGUCUUAACUGUGGCCAGUAAUGGAGAUGCCCACGGACCCAUCUUUGGAAGUGAAGAGUUAAUAUCAUUUUUCUUCCUCAUUUAUCCACAAGAAAGGACAGAAAAGCAAAAUAUCAAAGGAGCACUGGGAAUGACUUCACUAAUCGUGAGGACCCUUUGGGCAAUAGAGCCUCAGAAGUAUACUUUAGUCAAAAAGACCAUUAGACUGUAACUUUAUUUACCCACUACAUAGAACAGGGCAAUGGGUACCAAGAGGGUUUCUUUGAACACAAAGCAACAAGAGCAUAUUCUCCAAAUAGAAGACAGGUGGCUUGUUAUCCAUUACCCAACU
This is a long non-coding RNA of Lutra lutra (Eurasian river otter), 777 nucleotides long. RefSeq lists it as uncharacterized. The transcript is spliced from 4 exons. The record is from RefSeq and is a predicted model, not a curated record. Lineage: Eukaryota; Metazoa; Chordata; Mammalia; Carnivora; Mustelidae.